This 312-nucleotide unclassified non-coding RNA is filed under the name Hevea brasiliensis (rubber tree). Lineage: Eukaryota; Viridiplantae; Streptophyta; Magnoliopsida; Malpighiales; Euphorbiaceae. The record is from RNAcentral.
GUUAGCAAAAAUUAACUUUCAAGUAGUUUAUAUAAUAUCUUUAAUCAUAAUCUUAUGAGGAUGAUACUGAUAGGUAAGUUGGAAUAUUGGAUACCAAGUAAUAAAAAAUAAAGAAGGUCAAGUACAAGAUUAAUUAGAAUUAUUAAAAACAAAAAGAUUGAUGACAACUAAUGAAGUGAUUGUGCAGAUGCUUAAAAUCUGCAUGAGAGUAGUUGAGCAAUUUAAUUACGUUUCAAUUCACCAUAUAAUUGAUUUGAUACGUUGAUAAAAAUUUGUGUUCUUUUAUUGUUCUUUUUGUUGUGUGUGUUGCUG